GACGAACGCUGGCGGCGUGCUUAACACAUGCAAGUCGAACGGAAAGGCCCUGCUUUUGUGGGGUGCUCGAGUGGCGAACGGGUGAGUAACACGUGAGUAACCUGCCCUUGACUUUGGGAUAACUUCAGGAAACUGGGGCUAAUACCGGAUAGGAGCUCCUGCUGCAUGGUGGGGGUUGGAAAGUUUCGGCGGUUGGGGAUGGACUCGCGGCUUAUCAGCUUGUUGGUGGGGUAGUGGCUUACCAAGGCUUUGACGGGUAGCCGGCCUGAGAGGGUGACCGGCCACGUUGGGACUGAGAUACGGCACAGACUCCUACGGGAGGCAGCAGUGGGGAAUAUUGCACAAUGGGCGGAAGCCUGAUGCAGCAACGCCGCGUGCGGGAUGACGGCCUUCGGGUUGUAAACCGCUUUCGCCUGUGACGAAGCGUGGGUGACGGUAAUGGGUAAAGAAGCACCGGCUAACUACGUG
RNAcentral lists this ribosomal RNA (468 nucleotides) under uncultured bacterium. RNAcentral describes it as "partial 16S ribosomal RNA". It matches the Rfam family "Bacterial small subunit ribosomal RNA", at positions 28 to 507 of the family's 1533-position model. The record is from RNAcentral.